AUACGGAGGAUCCGAGCGUUAUCCGGAUUUAUUGGGUUUAAAGGGUGCGCAGGUGGCCAUUUAAGUCAGCGGUUAAAUCGUGGGGCUCAACCCCAUUCUGCCGUUGAUACUGGGUGGCUUGAUUGCGGUCGAGGUUGGCGGAAUUCGUUGUGUAGCGGUGAAAUGCAUAGAUAUGACGAAGAACACCGAUUGCGUAGGCAGCUGACCAGACCGCAAAUGACGCUCAUGCACGAAAGUGCGGGGAUCGAACAGGAUUAGAUACCCUGGUAGUCCGCACAGUAAACGAUGAAUACUUGUUUUCGGCGAUAUAAUGUCGGAGGCAAAGCGAAAGCGAUAAGUAUUCCACCUGGGGAGUACGCCGGCAACGGUGAAACUCAAAUGAAUUGGCGGGG
RNAcentral lists this ribosomal RNA (392 nucleotides) under uncultured bacterium. Its description in RNAcentral is "partial 16S ribosomal RNA". It matches the Rfam family "Bacterial small subunit ribosomal RNA", at positions 523 to 918 of the family's 1533-position model. The record is from RNAcentral.